GAGACCUCAGGUGUGUGACUCUCUACCUGUGCUCCAGGCAGGCACACAGGUACUGGUGUAAAGCAGGUCAGCUCUGUAGAGACCACCAUGAUCUCCACAGGUGCGGCAGGCACCUGGCGGGAAGGAUCCAUGACAUACCCUGCACCUCUCAGGAUGUGGCCCCAGGGCAGGGAAGUGGCUCCUGGCAGGUGACAAGGUGUGGAGUGGUCAUGCUGACGCCCACCCCAUCCUGACCCCAGACCAUCAUGGUCACCUCUGCCUCCCUGUCCAUGUGAUGGGGUGGAGUGUCCCCCACUGUGUGUCCUGUUGGUCCAGCUCUCUGGGUGGAUCAGUCUCACCUGCCCCCUCUGCUGUUUGCCUGGAACCUUCCAGGAGGAGGAGACCCUGUGUGGACCCUCGGUCAUCCCCUCCUUGUCCCCAUGCUGUGGGGACUCUGGUCCUGUCAGGGCUUCCCCAGUGUCUGUGGGGUGACAUGUCACGGUCCUGUGCACUGAGACUCCAUUAGGACCUGCAGACCCAGAGCUCUGUCAAUCACCAGCUCAGGAGGUCAGCUCCAGGGUGCACUGGGCUGGGGAUGCACCUGGGACCCCAGCCCCAUGCACUCUGUGUCCUGCUCACUGUAGCUCAGCACUGUGUCCCCAGGAGACCCUGGGUGUUGGGGGAGGAGGGUCACCCAGUGAAGGGCAAGCAGAGUCCAUCCAUCCUGCCCUAGGGACGCACACACAGGGGUCACCUACCCUGACCCCUUUCCCAAGGCCUCAGAUGCUGGGGUUUGGGCUGAGAGGAGGGAUGGGGACACUCAAAGGUCCAGCAGACGUCGGGCUGGAUGAACUGGCAGAGCAGAGACAGCCCUGGUGCAGCCCAGGGUCACACCUCUGCCCUCC
Molecule: long non-coding RNA, 884 nt
Filed under: Marmota monax (woodchuck)
Lineage: Eukaryota; Metazoa; Chordata; Mammalia; Rodentia; Sciuridae
Source: RNAcentral